GCUGGGCAUGGUGGUGCAUGCCUGUAAUCCCAGGGGCUAAGGAGGCUGGGAGAGGAGGACCACAAUUUGGAGCCAGCCUCAGCAAUUUAGUGAGGCCUUAUCUCAA
Molecule: small RNA, 106 nt
Filed under: Marmota monax (woodchuck)
Lineage: Eukaryota; Metazoa; Chordata; Mammalia; Rodentia; Sciuridae
Source: RNAcentral